GACGAACGCUGGCGGCGUGCUUAACACAUGCAAGUCGAACGGAAAGGCCUCUUUCGGGGGGUACUCGAGUGGCGAACGGGUGAGUGACACGUGAGUAACCUGCCCUUGACUUUGGGAUAACUUCAGGAAACUGGGGCUAAUACCGGAUAGGAGCUCCUGCUGCAUGGCGGGGGUUGGAAAGUUUCGGCGGUUGGGGAUGGACUCGCGGCUUAUCAGCUUGUUGGUGGGGUAGUGGCUUACCAAGGCUUUGACGGGUAGCCGGCCUGAGAGGGUGACCGGCCACAUUGGGACUGAGAUACGGCCCAGACUCCUACGGGAGGCAGCAGUGGGGAAUAUUGCACAAUGGGUGGAAGCCUGAUGCAGCAACGCCGUGUGCGGGAUGACGGCCUUCGGGUUGUAAACCGCUUUCGCUCAUGACGAAGCUUUGUGUGACGGUAGUGGGUAAAGAAGCACCGGCUAACUACGUG
Molecule: ribosomal RNA, 467 nt
Filed under: uncultured bacterium
Lineage: Bacteria
Description: partial 16S ribosomal RNA
Rfam family: Bacterial small subunit ribosomal RNA
Source: RNAcentral